CCUCAUUUUCAGUAGCUAUCUCAUAUCUUUAUAUCAUCCUCUAUGCAUGUGCCUGUAACCUAUGGAUCUAUGCAAUGCUGUUGCACUAUUUAUACUCCUGAAUAUAUCUGCUCACUGCAGACAACUGAGUGGGGGUGACUCCAACUCCAUAACCUUUCAUUUGACUAUAACGAUUCUAUAAACUCAGUAAACUCAAUAAAGAAAAAAUUACCCUUAGAUGAUGAAGGUACUAAUGGCUUCUUAUAUAUUACAGUUGAUCAUGCGCUAAAAUUGUUAUUCAUUAAAGAGAGAAAAAAGAGUUUCUUCAUGGC
RNAcentral lists this long non-coding RNA (311 nucleotides) under Elaeis guineensis (African oil palm). RNAcentral's name for it is "long non-coding RNA (EGUI_LNC034287)". Lineage: Eukaryota; Viridiplantae; Streptophyta; Magnoliopsida; Arecales; Arecaceae. The record is from RNAcentral.